UGGGGGAAUAUUGGACAAUGGGGGAAACCCUGAUCCAGCAAUGCCGCGUGUGUGAAGAAGGCCGCGGGUUGUAAAGCACUUUCAAUGGGAAGGCGUAACCCAUAGAAGAAGCACCGGCUAACUCCGUGCCAGCAGCCGCGGUAAUACGGAGGGUGCGAGCGUUAAUCGGAAUUACUGGGGGUAAAGCGCACGUAGGCGGUUGCGUAAGUCGAUUGUGAAGCCCCGGGACUUAACCUGGGAAUUGCAGUCGAUACUGCGCAGCUAGAGUGUGGUAGAGGGAAGUGGAAUUCCGGGUGUAGCGGUGAAAUGCGUAGAUAU
This 318-nucleotide ribosomal RNA is filed under the name uncultured bacterium. Its description in RNAcentral is "bacterial SSU rRNA". It matches the Rfam family "Bacterial small subunit ribosomal RNA", at positions 354 to 697 of the family's 1533-position model. The record is from RNAcentral.